Non-coding RNA from Globicephala melas (long-finned pilot whale), 772 nucleotides. NCBI's taxonomy places the organism in Eukaryota, Metazoa, Chordata, Mammalia, Artiodactyla, Delphinidae. The record is from RefSeq and is a predicted model, not a curated record.
CGACGCGGAAAGCGCCGCUGCGGCAGCGGCCGCGGAGGCUCCCCGGGGCCCGGGCGGCUCGACCCGGUACGGACGGGAGGCUCGGGCGGGCGGCCCGGCGUGGGACUCGGGUGCGGGCGACCAGGAGGUGCCGACCGCGGCGCUCGGACCUGGUAACUUACAAGAUUAAAAUUAUAUUUGGUUGAUGAUGGUUCUGAACAAAUACAGCUCUUAUUUGAGGUAUGCCAUUUUGAAGACUGAGACCGUGGAAUUUUAUCCUUGAGGAUAAAGGAAAUCUUUGCGAUAGUCUGUAUUUUAUAUAGCAAAAAUAUGAAUCCUGAGGCUGAAUUAUCUAAGGGGCCAGUAAAACGAAAAUAGAUGUUGGUGAAGAAUUUAUUUACACCCAGUCAGCUUGAAGAGUCUCAAAUGGACCCUACCACUGAGAAAUCAAGAUGGCAGUCCACUAUGGGGAAUUGAGAAAAAUGGAUUAAUACAAGAGUGCUGUGAUAAUAUACAACCAAGACAGGGUUCUUUUAACAUGGAUUUCAUGAAAUGAAUGAAGAUAUAGGUUUCUUACCCAGCACAAAUGGACAGUGAAUUUGACUUUCUAGAGACUUUGUAUCAUUAAGAACAUUUUUGACAUUUGGAGAAGAAAGAUGGCACAUUAACAGAUGAUAGUUUGUAUGCCUGGAAUCUUUUGCAGUUUGAUCUGUAUGAGUAUGAUCUUGUGGAAUGUUAACUUUAAUAAAAUUUCUAACACUUUAAAAUUUCUCAGUUUGGGCUUUUUUUUUUU